RNAcentral lists this ribosomal RNA (120 nucleotides) under Hortaea werneckii EXF-2000. The record is from RNAcentral. Lineage: Eukaryota; Fungi; Ascomycota; Dothideomycetes; Mycosphaerellales; Teratosphaeriaceae.
ACAUUGGACCAGAGGUUGCAGAGAACAGAGGAUCCCGUCCGCUCUCCUGUACUUAAGCUGCAAACCGGUGGAUUAGUAUUAGCGUCGGUGACGAGCUGAGAAUCCCCACUGUUCAAUGUG